RNA transcript from Ziziphus jujuba (common jujube), 2258 nucleotides. RefSeq lists it as uncharacterized. NCBI's taxonomy places the organism in Eukaryota, Viridiplantae, Streptophyta, Magnoliopsida, Rosales, Rhamnaceae. The transcript has 13 exons. The record is from RefSeq and is a predicted model, not a curated record.
CAGGAUUUUGUAUCAACCAAAGAGCUCACCCGAAAGAACACCACCAUUAGUGCUUGCGAGUGUGUUUGUUUCCAACGAAAAUUUUGCGGGAAAUGUAAUGUAAUUUUCCUAUAGCCGAAGCACCAUUUUUCUUUUCUACCUCUUGUUUUUCCAAGACAAAAAAAAGAAUUUUAUUUAUUUAUUUUAUGUUUUAUGAGGUCGAGUAUGAUGGAAAAAUCAACAUUGUAAAUGCUUUAAUGGAAGUCAUUAGGGUUUAAGAGCUGGGAAAAUUACAUUUAAUACUUGAACUUCCUUCUUUUUUUUUUGGCACUGCGAUUCUUCUGUCUGUAUAUCAAGCUAAUAUGGAGUAGUUUUGGGGCUCUGAUUGAGGAGAAGCGAGAUUAUGAGGUUGGAGGUUGAAGAAUAUUCUGAGAGCUUUUGAUGAAAAGUAUAUUCUAAGAGCUUAAUAUUCGUAGUUGAAUAUUAAUGCCCAGUUGGAUUGAGAUGUUCUUUUUGGUGCUCUAAGCAUCAAACUUCUGGUCCACAGAUGGCUUCCGAGUGAAGACAUAAAGUUGGAUUGAAAUCAAUGACCUGUGUUCAGUGGUUAAUUUCUGGAGCCAAAAUAGCCACGAGAAACUUCUGGCCUCUACAUAAAGAAGGAUGGAAGAUGAUUCUGAUAUGAACAUAAAGAAAGAAGUUGAAGUGUCAACUCGUAAUGAGGGAGUUGAUGAUGACAGAGUAGGUGAACGGAGUGUACCAGGGUUGGGAGAUGAAGAAGUAGAACCUCCGGCUGUUGGAAUGGUGUUUUCCUCUGAAGAUGAAGUACGGAAUUAUUAUUCGAAAUAUGCUCAACAUGAAGGCUUUGGUGUUUAUCGGAGAAGCUCAAGGUGCGGGGAUGAUGGAAAAGUCAAAUACUUUACACUUGCUUGUGCUAAAGCCGGUAAAGUUCGUGGAAGCAAUGGAAAUAAUAGGUUUCCUUGGAGACAGUCACCUAAAACAAACUGCAAAGCUAAGAUUAAUGUUGCAGUAGAGUCUCAUACACGGGUCUAUGUUUGUCAUGUCGUCCUUGAACAUAAUCAUGAACUAAGUCCAGGAAAGGUACAUCGAAAUAUAUGCAAGAAAAGUGGGAUUCGUCGAGUGCAUAAAAGACGUGAAGGGAAAGAGCAGGUAGGAUCUACAAUACUCGAGCUCUUGCAUCCAACCGCUGGAAAAAAGCUGGGGUGUGAAAAUUUAAUGUCAGGGGAAGGAGGCUCUUGUUCUGAUCAACUAAGCAAUGGUGACUGUCAUAUUCUAUUCCAUGAUGUUGGCCAUUCUUCAGGUGAAAAUGUGUUCCCUCAUCUCAGCAAAAGUCCGGUGUCUGGAAUUUCUCAAAAUUUAAUAACCAAUGCAGUCCAAGAAGCUUUAAAGUCUGCCCUUGUAAAGAGGGCUGUUGGACUUGUGAAAUCUGGAAUGGUGAUUGGGCUGGGAGCAGGAAGGACUUUAUCUCUUAUUGUAGAGGAGCUUGGAACACUAAUUAGAGAAGGGAAGUUGAAAGGCAUUGUUGUAGUGGGAACAAACUACCAAUCAAGAAGUGUAGCUAGACAGUUUGGUGUAACAACUGUUGAUUUGAAUGAUGUUCACAACAUUGACAUUGCCUUUGAUGUUGUGGAUGAAGUGGACUUCAAUAAGAAUAUGUUAAAGGGCAGUGGAGCUACUCAUACUGUGCAGAAGGUGGUUUAUUCCAUGGCAGAUAUGUGUGUUAUAUUGGCAGAGCAUGCAAAGGUUGUUCAUCGCCUUGGUAGCAAAAAUCCAGUCGCGGUUGAAGUUCUUCCUAUUGCUGUCACACCUGUUCUAAGGCGUCUUGUUGCUCUUGGAGGAGUUCCUGAGAUUCGGUCUGCCUUGAGGAAGGAUGGUCCAGUGAUCACUGACCUUGGUAAUAUGAUCGUAGACGUGGGGUAUGCUUCUAUGGCCUCUAUACCUCUUAGUUUGCUCUGGGUGGAAGUUAGAUCCAGAACUAAAUAGAAUAAGCUUUCCCAAUGGAAUACAGAACCCAGCUGAGCUUGAGAAAAACAUCAAUGUGAUACCUGGUGUGGUUGAUAACGUUUGAACCCUGCAAUCUUGUGGCUUAUGGUUCGCAAAUUCAUUCUCAUCUUCUUUCAUGGAGUUGUUACCGGGGUUGCAACAGCUGUGUUGGUUGCUUUCAGAAAUGGUGGUGAUGUGAGCGUGAUGAAUUUGGAGAAGUUUGUAGAAGUUGUACUGGGUCAUCGAUGCUCAAGUUUUGUCUUGUAAAUGUUUCCUUU